CAGCAAUGCUCCAGUGGCGCAAGGGUGAGGAACACGUGAACAACCUGCCUUCGAGUUGGGGAUAGCGUUACUGGAAACGGGAGAUAAUACCGAAUAACAUCACCGGGUCGCAUGACCUGGUGAUCAAAGCAGCAAUGCGCUUGAAGAGGGGUUCGCGUCCCAUUAGCUAGUUGGUGAGGUAAAGGCCCACCAAGGCGAUGAUGGGUAGCUGGUCUGAGAGGACGAUCAGCCACAUUGGGACUGAGAUACUGCCCAGACUCCUACGGGAGGCUGCAGUCGAGAAUUUUGGGCAAUGGACGAAAGUCUGACCCCAAGGCAAUGCCGCGUGCGGGAUGAAGGUCUUCGGAUUGUAAACCGCUGUCAAGAGGGACGAAAUAUGACGGUACCUCUGGAGGAAGCCACGGCUAACUACGUGCCAGCCGCGGC
Molecule: ribosomal RNA, 426 nt
Filed under: uncultured bacterium
Lineage: Bacteria
Description: bacterial SSU rRNA
Rfam family: Bacterial small subunit ribosomal RNA
Source: RNAcentral